GGGGACGUAGUAUAACCUGGCCAGAAUAGCCGGCUCCAGACCGGCUGAUCCGCGUUCGAAUCGCGGCGUCCCCA
RNAcentral lists this transfer RNA (74 nucleotides) under Candidatus Woesearchaeota archaeon. RNAcentral describes it as "tRNA-Trp". It matches the Rfam family "tRNA". From Rfam's summary of the family: Transfer RNA (tRNA) molecules are approximately 80 nucleotides in length. The record is from RNAcentral. Lineage: Archaea; Nanobdellati; Candidatus Woesearchaeota.